AUACUUACCUGGAUGGGGUCAAUGGGCAAUCAGUCGAUCAACAAGGUCCAUGGCGUAGGUUGGUGACCUCCAUUGCACUUUGGAGGGGUGCCUUCCUAAGGUCGAUCCAAGUGGUCGAGCCUAUGUCAUAAUUUAUGGCAGUGGGGCCUGCGUUCGUGUGGCCCCCAC
Molecule: non-coding RNA, 168 nt
Organism: Capsicum annuum
Lineage: Eukaryota; Viridiplantae; Streptophyta; Magnoliopsida; Solanales; Solanaceae
Source: Rfam